GAUGAAGAACGCAGCGAAAUGCGAUAAGUAGUGUGAAUUGCAGAAUUCCGUGAAUCAUCGAAUCUUUGAACGCACAUUGCGCCUUCUGGUAUUCCGGAAGGCAUGCCUGUUCGAGAGUCAUUAACAACCGUUUCGAUCCCUUUCUUUCAGAAAUUACAAAGAGGUAAAGGGUUUGGUUAUGGUGGAGGAGGGAAAGGGAGCGUUUAGCCUGUAAAAAAAGAGGCUGUGUUCCGCCUCCCCCCCAAAAUUGUACAGGCGGUCGUGUGCGCCCACGCAUCGAGGUGUUGUAAAAGCUGCCACGGCACUUUUCACCUGUGCAGUGCGAGAUUGGCCAGCCGGUUUAAAAACCCCUCCAAACAAUCAAAGGUUGACCUCGGAUCAGGUAGGGAUACCCGCUGAACUUAAGCAUAUCAAUAAGCGGAGGA
This 425-nucleotide unclassified non-coding RNA is filed under the name soil metagenome. RNAcentral's name for it is "partial contains 5.8S ribosomal RNA, internal transcribed spacer 2, and large subunit ribosomal RNA". The stretch from base 1 to 120 matches the Rfam family "5.8S ribosomal RNA", at positions 35 to 154 of the family's 154-position model. The record is from RNAcentral.